Molecule: transfer RNA, 90 nt
Filed under: Bdellovibrionales bacterium RIFOXYA1_FULL_36_14
Lineage: Bacteria; Pseudomonadati; Bdellovibrionota; Bdellovibrionia; Bdellovibrionales
Also listed under: 4 other names
Description: tRNA-Ser
Rfam family: tRNA
About the family: Transfer RNA (tRNA) molecules are approximately 80 nucleotides in length. Their secondary structure includes four short double-helical elements and three loops (D, anti-codon, and T loops).
Source: RNAcentral
GGAGAAUUGGCCGAGUGGUUUAAGGUGCACGCUUGGAAAGCGUGUGUAGGGGAAACUCUACCGUGGGUUCGAAUCCCAUGUUCUCCGCCA